UGAGUUCACAUGUUCACAUGAUUAAAGGUAUUCCGGUAGACGAUGGGGAUGCGUUCCAUUAGAUAGUAGGCGGGGUAACGGCCCACCUAGUCUUCGAUGGAUAGGGGUUCUGAGAGGAAGGUCCCCCACAUUGGAACUGAGACACGGUCCAAACUCCUACGGGAGGCAGCAGUGAGGAAUAUUGGUCAAUGGGCGAGAGCCUGAACCAGCCAAGUAGCGUGAAGGAUGACUGCCCUAUGGGUUGUAAACUUCUUUUAUAAAGGAAUAAAGUCGGGUAUGUAUACCCGUUUGCAUGUACUUUAUGAAUAAGGAUCGGCUAACUCCGUGCCAGCAGCCGCGGUAAUACGGAGGAUCCGAGCGUUAUCCGGAUUUAUUGGGUUUAAAGGGAGCGUAGAUGGAUGUUUAAGUCAGUUGUGAAAGUUUGCGGCUCAACCGUAAAAUUGCAGUUGAUACUGGAUAUCUUGAGUGCAGUUGAGGCAGGCGGAAUUCGUGGUGUAGCGGUGAAAUGCUUAGAUAUCACGAAGAACUCCGAUUGCGAAGGCAGCCUGCUAAGCUGCAACUGACAUUGAGGCUCGAAAGUGUGGGUAUCAAACAGGAUUAGAUACCCUGGUAGUCCACACGGUAAACGAUGAAUACUCGCUGUUUGCGAUAUACUGCAAGCGGCCAAGCGAAAGCGUUAAGUAUUCCACCUGGGGAGUACGCCGGCAACGGUGAAACUCAAAGGAAUUGACGGGGG
This 736-nucleotide ribosomal RNA is filed under the name uncultured bacterium. RNAcentral describes it as "bacterial SSU rRNA". It matches the Rfam family "Bacterial small subunit ribosomal RNA", at positions 181 to 919 of the family's 1533-position model. The record is from RNAcentral.